RNAcentral lists this ribosomal RNA (492 nucleotides) under uncultured bacterium. RNAcentral's name for it is "partial 16S ribosomal RNA". It matches the Rfam family "Bacterial small subunit ribosomal RNA", at positions 29 to 507 of the family's 1533-position model. The record is from RNAcentral.
AGUGAACGCUGGCGGUAGGCCUAACACAUGCAAGUCGAACGGCAGCACAGUAAGAGCUUGCUCUUACGGGUGGCGAGUGGCGGACGGGUGAGGACUACAUCGGAAUCUACUUUUUCGUGGGGGAUAACGUAGGGAAACUUACGCUAAUACCGCAUACGACCUACGGGUGAAAGCAGGGGAUCUUCGGACCUUGCGCGAUUGAAUGAGCCGAUGUCGGAUUAGCUAGUUGGCGGGGUAAAGGCCCACCAAGGCGACGAUCCGUAGCUGGUCUGAGAGGAUGAUCAGCCACACUGGAACUGAGACACGGUCCAGACUCCUACGGGAGGCAGCAGUGGGGAAUAUUGGACAAAGGGCGCAAGCCUGAUCCAGCCAUACCGCGUGGGUGAAGAAGGCCUUCGGGUUGUAAAGCCCUUUUGUUGGGAAAGAAAAGCAGCAGGUUAAUACCCCGCUGUUCUGACGGUACCCAAAGAAUAAGCACCGGCUAACUUCGUG